Molecule: ribosomal RNA, 497 nt
Filed under: uncultured bacterium
Lineage: Bacteria
Description: partial 16S ribosomal RNA
Rfam family: Bacterial small subunit ribosomal RNA
Source: RNAcentral
GAUGAACGCUGGCGGCGUGCCUAACACAUGCAAGUCGAGCGAACAGACGGGGAGUUUUCUCGUCUGACGUUGGCGCCGGACGGGUGAUGCCCAUGUGUUUGACCUACCUAUCAGAAUGGGGUACCAACGGGAAACCGGAUCUACUAACCGAAAAUAUAUUGAACCUGAAUGUUCAAUCGUGAAAGACGGUUGUUCUGAGACUAAUAGAUGAAUCAGAGCCGGAUGAGUUAGUGGGUAAGGUAACGGCUUACCAACGCAACGAGGCGUAGCCGACCUGAGAGGGUGAUCCGCCACACUGGAACUGAGACACGGUCCACACUCCUACGGGAGGCCGCAGUAGGGAAUCUUCCGCGAUGGGCGAAAGCUUGAUAGAGCAACGCCGCGUGAGUGAUGAAGGUCUUCGGAUCGUAAAGCUCUGUAAGUAGGGAUGAACUAAUGUGUAUGUAACCAUGCCCGUCUUGACGGUACCUAAAGAAUAAGCCCCGGCUAACUACGUG